Mesocricetus auratus (golden hamster) is the source of this 2103-nucleotide long non-coding RNA. RefSeq lists it as uncharacterized. NCBI's taxonomy places the organism in Eukaryota, Metazoa, Chordata, Mammalia, Rodentia, Cricetidae. The transcript has 3 exons. The record is from RefSeq and is a predicted model, not a curated record.
AAAAAGGAACCCUUGCCCCUUGGUGACACUUUUAAGGUUCUUAAAAUACCUCACAGAUCCUGAUUCACUGUCACCAGCGUGUGUCAGGACUCUGCCUACAGAGGAAAGCUCCUGGAAAGACAGGCAGGGAGCCUCUCCAAUUAGACUGUCUCUACCCAUUCCUCUGUGUCCCAGCCCAAUGCCAAGUGCUUGUUCCUAUGACUGGGGCCAUCAAAUCCACCACUGGAUUGAGGGGUUUACACGUGGUAAUUAUCAUAGGCUCACAGGAACCCCGAGAGAAGCAGGUGCUGCUGACCUCUGGACCCAGGAGGCACCCCCAGAUUGAUCUCCAGGGGACCCAGAGUUGUCCACUCAUCUACCAGCCCUUGGCUCUGAAUCUGCCUUGAGAGGAUCCGGCCUGCUUUAAAAGUUGAGGAUGAGGGACAUGGCGGCCUGUGUUUCAGUAACUAGGAGACCCGGUGGUCGGACUGAGGAGCGAGAUGAAGCAUGAUGAGCAAGUGGACAAUUCAGACGGUGAGCCACCUGACCGCAGCUCCACAAAACACCAAGCACAGGGAGCACAGGUCACAAAGUGACUUUGCUGGACUGCCUGCCCCAUCAUGCUGUGGCCAUGUCUAGAAGAAGUCUUAUGUUCUGUAGGAAGGCAAAUACACUCCAAGCCCUGCCUAAGUGACUGGUGUUUGACUCCCUGGAGAGGCCAAGUGUGAACUCACUGGUUUAGGUAUGGAUACAAGGGCACCCACCUGCCCCCUCUUCCUCUCUGCCCCCUCUCCCACAGACCAGCCAUGGGUGUCUGGGCCCAUUCUUUGAAUCUGUUUGUUCCAAACUUAGAUGGUUAAAUGGUUCUAAGAUUGUAUAGAGCCAUUAUAACAAGCAGGUGUGGGUUGAUUCUGUACAUUUCCUUGGGAAACAGAGGAAUUAACCCAAAUCUCUGUGGGAUUCUAAAGGAUGGCACUUUCUGAGCUCUUCUGGUUUUAUUUUCCUUUUAGAGACAAUGUCUCAUGUAGCCCAGGCUGGACUAGAACUCACUACUUAGAUAAGGACAACCUCGAAUUUCCUGAUUCCUCCCUGCCCCCACUUCUCAUGAGCUAAGGUUACAUGUGUGUGCCACGAUCAUGCCUAUUUUAUGGGGUGCUGGGUGUCGAACCCAGGGCUUUAUGCAUUCCAGGCAGACACUCUAGCAGCCGCACUACAUUCCCAGCUCAAAUUCUUGUUUACAUGUAUACAAGACAAGCCAUCUUGCUGCUGCUACUCCUCUGCCCCUUUACAGUGGCUUUUGCACAAGAUGCUGCUUGGAGAACAUUGUAUAGACAGACAGAUGGACAGAUGCUGAGAGGCUUCACAGUGCAAGUACACCCUAGAGCUGUGGUUACAGAGAAGGCAGCAGAGGAUGGGUGGCUUCCCUGGAGACGAUGGAGAGGGACGUCAGGAACUGCUAAGACCUGACUCUGCACGAAGGUUUCAUUCAGAUCCUAGCCAGGGUAGUUGUUGAAGGAAAGUUCGUGAAGUGGGAUUUGCUUGCUUCUUGGUGUUUCUUUCUAUCAUUGCAGUGUUGAUUUAGCUGCCAUACUAAAAAUACCAGGAAAUUGACUUUAAAUGUUUUUAAUUAAGAUGAAGUGUCGGAUGCCAGUGAGAUAGCUCGGUUGGUACUUAAACCAACUGCACAUGCCUGACAAACUGACUUCAAUCCCUGGAACCCAAAAGCCAGAUGUGUGGUGGCUAGUAUCUGUAACCCCAGAACUCCUGCAGUGAGGUUCAAAGUUUGCCCCCGCCAUGGCAAAAUUACUUUCUUUUCUUUCAGAAAAUGUGGCAUAGGUGAAGGACUCUGUGGCAGCAGUGAUUUACUUCUGCCACUAUUCUGUUGCUUCUAUGUAGCUGACAUCCAUUCCCACUAGUACCUUCAUCACCAUCACCACAGCCUUUGUCAGCAUCACCACCUCCAUCACCCAAAACUACCCUCAUCACCACCAAUGUCACUUCUAUUGCUACCAUAACGACCAGCCUACGAUUUCAUUAUUACCAUCUCAGUACCACCAUCCCACCUCCAUCCUUUCCCAUCCCCGCCUUCACCAUCAUCUCUAACCCCACUCUGACUACCAUCAC